This 422-nucleotide long non-coding RNA is filed under the name Homo sapiens (human). Its description in RNAcentral is "AKT serine/threonine kinase 3 (ENSG00000275199.4)". Lineage: Eukaryota; Metazoa; Chordata; Mammalia; Primates; Hominidae. The record is from RNAcentral.
GCUGAUAAGAUGGCAGCCUGGCAACAGAGGCAGGUAGUGGGGUUGGGGGAGAACAUUUGAUGCAGAGUAAAAAUAAGAUUUGUGAUUCCAAAGGUCAUGAAUUGUUAGGAUCAUGGGAUGACUGUGUAUCAUUGGAAGAUGUAAGCUCAAGAAUAUUCAUGAAUAUGUGUUCUAUUAAACAUUGGAGAAUAUAUAAAAAACUGGAGGCCAAGAUACUUCCUUUUGAAGACAGAUGGCUCAUUCAUAGGAUAUAAAGAGAAACCUCAAGAUGUGGAUUUACCUUAUCCCCUCAACAACUUUUCAGUGGCAAAAUGCCAGUUAAUGAAAACAGAACGACCAAAGCCAAACACAUUUAUAAUCAGAUGUCUCCAGUGGACUACUGUUAUAGAGAGAACAUUUCAUGUAGAUACUCCAGAGGAAAG